AAAAGGUUUUCCACCGGCGCUUCCUGAUAUUCCUGCGCCGUUCUUGCCGCCGAUCGGUGGAGGUAUUUUACCUCCUCUUCCGGUGCCGGAUGUACCCAUGCCACCUCUAAUUCCCCCGCUACCACAGCUCCCUGGUAUUCCACUUCCACCUGUUACCCGCCAAAAAUCAUCGGAAUCCGAUAGAUUGGCCGAUCAAAAAAGUUUUGGUUUCCCGUUUCCACCGCCACUGUUCCCACCGCUGCCGUUUGUGCCAUCGCCGCCGUCAUUGAUUCCUCCCGUCAUUCCAACACCACCACCGUCACUGUUCCCUCCCCUCGUUCCAUCAACACCACCAUCAUUGUUUCCUCCCCUCGUUCCAUCACCACCAUCAUCGAUGUUUCCACCAUUGCCCUUUCCACCUGUACCAGGUUUGAUUCCAUCACCGCCGCCGCCACCACCGCCGGCGUUCCCAAUUCCUCUGCCUCCACUACCUCCGCUACCUCCGCUACCUCCAGUACCUCCGGUACCAGGAGUCCCACCGGCGAAAAC
RNAcentral lists this long non-coding RNA (528 nucleotides) under Lactuca sativa (garden lettuce). RNAcentral describes it as "long non-coding RNA (LSAT_LNC004669)". The record is from RNAcentral. Lineage: Eukaryota; Viridiplantae; Streptophyta; Magnoliopsida; Asterales; Asteraceae.